UCAACAAACAACUUGAAAGCAAAUUAAAGAAAAAUCACCUGGAAAGUUUUUUCCGACAAUUCGUAAGAUUUUGCGAUUGUGUUUAUCUCUGCCUUUGAUUUUGAACAAAUUAAGCUUGUGAAUGAGUUUAAUUUGAUCAGGCGGCAGUUGUUCUUCAGCCAUGGUGAUUGAAGAUUGGAUUUGGAUGAUAAGAUGAAGAUUGAUGAUGAAGUUAGGGAUAAAGUGGGGGAAGAAGAUGAGAUGGAAUCUGAUCUGACGGAGGAUAUGCGGAUAGAAUAUUCGGGUUUUGACUGAGUUGGAUGGGUAUGAAUACAGGGUCGAGUUUCUACAGCGGGAUGAGUAUAGAGAUGUGUGCCCGUGGUUGAUGAUCUGGACCGUUGAUUUUAGGUCGGGUAAUGUAUGGUUUAAUAUUUUAAAUUAAUGGGCUUGAUGAUGGUCCGUGGUUUUGGACCGCCUAACUAUGCCAAACUUUGGACUUGUUUUCCUUAGUAAAACUAUUAUUCCUUAGGUGUUGCGGCGAGUAUUGGUUUGGUAUCGGCUCAGUUUGUUACAGUAUCGGUGUGAUAUCCACAUUUGAUAUGGCAAUCAACACAUGUGUUACGUUGAUUAAAAAUCAUAAGAAAAAUAGCGCUGCCAAUACUGAUGCUAUUCGGAUAGGCUCGGUUCAUUUUGUGAUGGUAUCAGUACGAUACCAACAUUGAAUAUAGCUUACAAUACCAAAAAAAAAUUAAUAAGUCAGUGUUAUUGAAAUAAUAUUGGUUCUGG
RNAcentral lists this long non-coding RNA (765 nucleotides) under Helianthus annuus (common sunflower). Its description in RNAcentral is "hypothetical non coding rna". The record is from RNAcentral. Lineage: Eukaryota; Viridiplantae; Streptophyta; Magnoliopsida; Asterales; Asteraceae.